Long non-coding RNA from Oncorhynchus tshawytscha (Chinook salmon), 459 nucleotides. The record is from Ensembl. NCBI's taxonomy places the organism in Eukaryota, Metazoa, Chordata, Actinopteri, Salmoniformes, Salmonidae.
CAGAGAGAGAGACGCCGAGUGAGGCCUGAAACACACAGAGAGAGAGACGCCGAGUGAGGCCUGAAACACACAGAGAGAGAGAGACGCCGAGUGAGGCCUGAAACACACAGAGAGAGAGAGACGCCGAGUGAGGCCUGAAACACACAGAGAGAGAGAGACGCCGAGUGAGGCCUGAAACACACAGAGACAGACGCCGAGCGAACCUUGCGUGUGAUUGCGUAGUGCCCCUUCAUGGCGUUGAGGCUCCAUUUGAUGUCCUGACAGGAAAUCAUCCUGAAGUCUCCCAUCAAGAGGUCAGCUGCCUGCAUCGCCGCCUCAGAACCCACCUGACCUAACGACCCGUAGUCAAACAGGUCCUCUGCAGACUACAGAGAGAGAGAGAGAGAGACAGGGCUAACACUAGGGACAGGGCGUUUCAACAGAGAGACAGGACUAACACUAGGGACAGGGCGUUUCAAC